Molecule: long non-coding RNA, 1858 nt
Organism: Monodelphis domestica (gray short-tailed opossum)
Lineage: Eukaryota; Metazoa; Chordata; Mammalia; Didelphimorphia; Didelphidae
Source: Ensembl
GUCUGAGUUUUCAGACUGACAGCAAAAGAACAGAGUUCUGGAAUUCUGAGGGAGCCGCUACUGUUGAAGAGAGACAGUUAAGCCUAGGGCUGUGGCUUUUUCCCUCUGGGUGGAUGUGAGGAGAAUUAGCUUUUCCUUGUGCCAUUUGAUAGCUUAUUCAUCACAUCUUACUGUUGUUUGGAUUAUCCUGUAUCUGUUGGCCUUUUGACAUCUACUGAGCUCCUGUACUGUGACAACUAACAGCUGAUUUGCCAAGGAGCCAUGGUUAGUCUGUAUCACAGUGAACAUUUGGAUGCUAAGCUUCUGAGUUCCCUGCCGUUUUCCAAGUGAAAAGAGAGUUGAAGAUUGUGGAGAGAUCGUGACUUACUAGAGGAUUCUCGCCCCUUAGUCCACUAGAGCUGAGAUGGCUAGCUUAUAGUGCUGGGGAAAUCGUAGUAAGAAGCAGUGAUUGUCAGGGAUUGUCAUUCCCAGCAGCCAUCAGUAGCCACCACAGGAGCAGCAAGGAGCAAAUAUGCAUCAAGAAAAACAUCAGUCCUGAAACCCUGUAAUGGUGGUUUUGGGUAGUCGAGGAAAGGACGAACUGGAUGGCUUCAGAAAAAUCUGUGAAGAUUUGUGUGAACUAACUCAGAGUAAAAUAAGCAUAACCAGGAGGCCACUGGACUCAGGAACAGCGAUAUUGAAGCAAGACCGUGCUAAAGGACUCAUGAUUGUAAAGUGAUGCUUCUUCCAAAACAGGAAUGAGUAGCUUCCAUUCUAUCAAGGUCACUGGACCAAAUUUCCAGAAGCAGCUAGCCUUGAAUUCAAGGUAUCCCUAGAUGGGAAUUAAAAAGAGAAGCAAAUGGAAAGGCUAUCUUAUAAUUAAACAUGUUGGUCAAAGCAAACAACAGUUGGGUAAAACAGAACUUGACAUCCCUUACCCAUUUGUGAAGAUGAAUUGGGAAAUGAAAAUACAUCAGCCUGAACUUGUCCUUAAGCCAUGACAAGAGAGCAUGCAGAGCUCUCACUGAGCUGAUGACAGUCUAUUAAAGUACUUUGAAAGUUAGAAUAAUUGUUGUUUUUAAUCCAAAUGUAAUUAAUGGGCCCAAUUCCAGUUACAUAAGAACAACUCAAAUAAUCCUUUGAUGAAAAUGAAAUGCUUCCAAGAAUGCUAUGGGGGUGGGAGGGAAGACCUAAAAUUGGAUGCUAAUUCAUUGAGAAUUAAAGGAAAACUUUACUCAAUGCCCUCAGGCAGUACCCUUGGCAUUUUGUGUCUACUCUUCUUUUCUUCUAGGCUACUCUAACUUGACAUACAAUUUGUCCUACUCUUGGCUUGUCAUUAUAAAGGUUGUGUCUACACAGGCAAAUUAUCUGGAGAGUUGAAUCCAGAAAAAAAAAAAGGAAGUUUUAACUACAUCUAUAUGAUCAUGAUUUGCUUGGAUGGAAUGGAAAAUUGUAGUUUAGUUGGUCAGCUAAAGAGUUCAGACCUGUCACAGGUAAGGAGUCCCUUACUCCUGAAAGAUCAGUAAUUACUGAGGUGUUUGUGCAUGAGGGAGACUUGUUUAUACUUUGCUAACAAUAGCAGCUAGCAGCUAGAUUCACUUAUUAAGCACUGUGUGCAAUCCAAAAGACAGUAUAGUAUAGGAGUUGGCCUUGGAGUCAAGAAGAUCUAGAUUCAGUGGCUACCUUGACAUAUACAAAAACAGAGUGCUGCCAUUUAAAGUUUAUGCCUCUGAGCAAUUCUGUAAGGCUAUGCCUCACAGAAAAGUCUACAUCUGCAUCCGGGAAGGGAGUUUCUAUCCUGAGAGCUCAUUAUGCCAGGGAAAUCACAAACUAGGACCAAACAAAUAAACAUUUAUGUGUUAUGUCUAACUGGUAUUUU